RNAcentral lists this ribosomal RNA (468 nucleotides) under uncultured bacterium. Its description in RNAcentral is "partial 16S ribosomal RNA". It matches the Rfam family "Bacterial small subunit ribosomal RNA", at positions 28 to 507 of the family's 1533-position model. The record is from RNAcentral.
GACGAGCGCUGGCGGCGUGCUUAACACAUGCAAGUCGAACGGAAAGGCCCUGCUUUUGUGGGGUGCUCGAGUGGCGAACGGGUGAGUAACACGUGAGUAACCUGCCCUUGACUUUGGGAUAACUUCAGGAAACUGGGGCUAAUACCGGAUAGGAGCUCCUGCUGCAUGGUGGGGGUUGGAAAGUUUCGACGGUUGGGGAUGGACUCGCGGCUUAUCAGCUUGUUGGUGGGGUAGUGGCUUACCAAGGCUUUGACGGGUAGCCGGCCUGAGAGGGUGACCGGCCACAUUGGGACUGAGAUACGGCCCAGACUCCUACGGGAGGCAGCAGUGGGGAAUAUUGCACAAUGGGCGGAAGCCUGAUGCAGCAACGCCGCGUGCGGGAUGACGGCCUUCGGGUUGUAAACCGCUUUCGCCUGUGACGAAGCGUGAGUGACGGUAAUGGGUAAAGAAGCACCGGCUAACUACGUG